This 422-nucleotide ribosomal RNA is filed under the name uncultured bacterium. Its description in RNAcentral is "bacterial SSU rRNA". It matches the Rfam family "Bacterial small subunit ribosomal RNA", at positions 355 to 774 of the family's 1533-position model. The record is from RNAcentral.
UGAGGAAUAUUGGUCAAUGGGUGCAAGCCUGGACCAGCCAUCCCGCGUGAAGGACGACUGCCCUAUGGGUUGUAAACUUCUUUUGUAUAGGGAUAAACCUACCCUCGUGAGGGUAGCUGAAGGUACUAUACGAAUAAGCACCGGCUAACUCCGUGCCAGCAGCCGCGGUAAUACGGAGGGUGCAAGCGUUAUCCGGAUUUAUUGGGUUUAAAGGGUCCGUAGGCGGACUUAUAAGUCAGUGGUGAAAGCCUGUCGCUUAACGAUAGAACUGCCAUUGAUACUGUAAGUCUUGAGUAUAUUUGAGGUUGCUGGAAUAAGUAGUGUAGCGGUGAAAUGCAUAGAUAUUACUUAGAACACCAAUUGCGAAGGCAGGUUACCAAGAUAUAACUGACGCUGAGGGACGAAAGCGUGGGGAGCGAACA